AAAACAGCGCUGGCAGCACAGCCUGUGACUCACCGGCGUGUGCCCCCACACUGCAGCUGGGCCAGCGCUGGGCCGUCCUGAUUCAUGUUUUCCGUGGUUAUCCGGGGAAAUGGAAACCGUCUGGACGCGGCGCCCACUCGCACGCUGGCGCUCACGCUGCGCUGAUCAGCUUGGAAGUGCGGAAGGGCCUCCUCUCAGCCUCCUCCCCUACCUGCAGCCGCAGACGCUGGAGUGGGGAGGCGGCUGUCUUCACACCCCAGACCCACUGCCCAGGGCAUGCUUCCCCGUAGGAAGCAAAACAAAGACCCGGUUCCCUGUCUGUGGGCAGGGGCAGGGGCCACUUUUAGGUCUUUUCUUAUUUUUUGUUCCCUUGGGUAGUUCCCUCUGCACACAAACCACCGCGUGCUCUUCAUGAUUGACCGCAUCCCCUCAGUGAGGCAUCCUAUGGCUGAUGUGUUCUGAAGACUGGGAAGUCCAAGAUCAAGGUGCUGGCAGAUUCGGUGUCUGAUUCUCCUGGCCUCAUCUGUCCCUGCCGCCAAGAUGGAUUAUCUGCAGGAACUUGGACCAACUCCACAGAACCUUCCUUAUGUUCUGUUCAUACUGCCCAGACCUGCCCUGGCUUCCCUGUUGCUCCUGAGGCAGAAGAGGCCUUUGGACUCACUCAGCCCCACAUCUGUACAGUCCACAGAUGCUGGGGAAAUUAACAUCACAAAGGGUUGACUUUAGAUCAAUGUGAGACAAGUAUUUCAACUAUGAUUGCAUAUUUGUCAGUGCCUCUUUGUAAUUCUGAGUUUUUUCCUUCAUUUAUUUCAUAAUAUACUGUAUGAUAAUGCGCAUUUUAAAUUCCCAUGUCUUCCUGGCUAACAUUUUUAUUUAGUCCUGAUGCCGUGGGCUUCUUUGCUGGGGAUUAUGGUGUCAGCAUCCUUUUAGGGAUCAUUAUUCUGCCUACCACAACUAUGAUUAACUUUUUGCCAACAAUUUUGAGAAUAUAGGUGAAGUGUGUAUUUUCUUGGGAAAAAGCUGGUUGCUUAUUUUAAUUGGUAAUACAGUAACACUUCCUUUUUGCUGAUUCUUGAUCUGGGAUGUAUACAUUUCUUCUUUUAAUGUUCAAAUUUUCUUGUCAUUUCAUGUUAUGUGUUUCUGUUGUAAAGUGUAUAUAUAUUUGAAUUUUGUUUUAUCAUCCAAUAUAAAAGUCUGUUUUGUGAGUUUAGUUUCUUUAUAUUUAUUGAGUGCUCAUUAGCUUUGAUUACUUGAUACUUCCUUAAGUUGUGAUUUCUAAUGGCCAUGUUUCUUUUUCCACAUUUUUUUCUUUCCUUCUUUUUUCCUUUUACUCCCUUAAUGGUUUCAGAGUCACACACAUUCUCUUGUCUACUGUAUUAUGUUCAGCAUAUUUGGUUCCUCUCUCUGCAGAGCUUCUGCUUCAGGAGGAUUAGACUUACUGGCUCUAUUGAGCCAGCCAUAGCUGACUUUCUCUGGCCAAUGAAACAUCUGUGAAAGUGAUGGUGUCACUUCCAAAGAGAAGCAUCAAGAGCCAGCACAUGGCUCCCUAGGUCUCUUCUCCCUCUGCUGAGUGGCACAGAGAGGCUGCUGGGUGGCCGGCAUCCUAGAGUGAUGCUGACAGAGAAGACAGCCUCUGCUGACCCCCAGUGGACAGGCAGCAGAAGCGUAAAAGAAGCAUUUGCUAGUAGUGUAAAGCACCAAGAUCUGCAGGCCAUUUGUUAGCUCAGCGUGGCUUAGCUUAUCCUGACUGGUAUGGUAGUUCCCAUAAGCAAGUAGGAGGAUUUUAAAUGCCUUUAUUUCACAAUCAUCUUAGAUUGCUAGUUUAGACCACUAAACUUUUAAAUAUAAUUCAAGUGCUCUACAAUGAUUUUUCUGCUUCUAAUAAAUGUUUGACUAUAUUAAAAUUGUUUAUCAAAAAUAAAUUUGAAACUGUUCAAUAAAAAGAGAUUGAUAGUUUAAAUAAGGGUAGGGUUCUCGAUUUACAGUGAUUUUCAUUCGUCCCUGAAUCUCAAAUAUCUUUCCAACAGCUACCACUAAUAUUAACUGUUAUGAUUACUUAUUGGCUGCUUCCUAAGAACCCAUCAUUUUGCUAAGAGCUCCACAUGUUUUCUCAUUUAAUCCUCACAACAACUCAAUUUAGCAACUGAGGAAACUAUGACUUAGUGGCAGGUAAGGAACAUACAUAUGAGCACAGCUAGUCAAUAUUAAUAGCAGAGCAAGAACUCAAAGUCUGGGCUGCCUGAUUGCAAAAUCGUGUGCCAUGCUGUUGUACCAAUAAGCCCCUUCCACGGUACUCUACUGAAGAACAAUGUGUGCCAAUGCAAAGCAAAUCUAGAUCACAGUUGUUAUUUCUAUGAUCACUCAUCAAAUAUAUACUUGCCUCUGUCUCCCAUUAUGAGUGGAGUCUACUUCCCUGCCCUGUGGGUUUUUCCCUUGUUCCUGUGCUUACAAAGAGCAUGGGAUGUCAGCAGUCUUGUGAGGGGAGGAUUGGCACAGGGCUGUGAGGUUUAGCUUGCCCUCCAGUGCAUGGCUGAUCCACUGGGAGAAGAAUGUGGCCAGACAGCUGUGGAGCAAAACUGAACCCAGAAUUGAGCUCAGAGUCAAGUCCAGCUGAAGGUUAGGCUGAAGUUGAGCCAUCCACAUCCUGCCCCAUCAGCCAAGCCAUGGCUCUUGUGCUCACCCAUGAGCAUGAGAAUAAAGCUUUUUGUUGUAAGCCAUUGAGUUUUGCCUCCUUUACAAAUGUUAUUUUAAUUUUUUAAGUAGCACAGCAAUGAUUAUUCCUGUUCCCAAAAUUUUUUGUCACAUUUUAGAUUACUUCUUUAGAAAGAUGACUAAGAGAAAAAAUCCUGGGCCCAGUGAAUGGGAUUCUUGAGGCAUUUAAUAUGCUCAUUUCAUCUGAACGUUUGAUACUAAGGAUUUCAAGAUGUCUCUGUUUUCUUUCUGAAACUUCAUGUCUAAUUGAUCAUUAUUAUCCAUGGCCUCAGGCUCAAGGAAGCUCUCUGAUCUCUUUCCUCUGUGUCAGUUCAGUGAGAGAACUAAGAUCACUAAGGUCACUGGCUUUGCCUUGAUGCAUCCACCAUGCCACUGCGGGAACCUGGGCAAGCAAACACCUCACUUCCGCCAUUUACAAAAUGGAGACACACAGCCCCACAGUUUUGCGAGGAUGAAGUCACAUAUAUUGAGAACACAGCAGUGUACUAAACUAAAAUAAAGAACUUAAUUCAAGCAAUACAUACACAGGCAAAAACCACCAGCUCUCAGAGUUGGAGUCUCUCUUCCCCUUCUGAUGACAAAAGGACUAAUGACCACAACCUACUGGUGCACAUGGCAUAUUCACACCUGACUCCCAGCAGCUGCUGUCAGGGUGGACGUGAAGGCCAAAGGCUGGGGCUGAGAAAUUUAGCAUGUGGUUCUUUGAGAAAUCUCACAAAAGCUUCUUUUAUCACUUGAGGACACAUCACCAUCAUCACCAUCAGAGACGACCACUAGUUUUCAUUAAUGGCAUUAAUAUAUUAAUAUAUUUCCCCACUUGCUUUACAAAAAAUAUGGAAGGUAGUUACCGAAAAACAUUAAGGAGAAAGAGAAUUAAGUACAAGAGCUGGGUGUGUGGGCAGUAAAUAGAGGGAAAGGGGAGCUGGCAAGUUGAACAAGAAGGAAAAUGAAUGUCACGUGCCUGUGAACAGCUGCUGGGCUCUGUAUUCAGUUUGAGCUCUCUACAAGCCAAGGCAAAAUGAUGGAAGUAACCAAUUGUAAGAUACACAGUAUCCACAAGGCCCUCUCUUGACACCCAUAUCAGAGAGCAAUUUCUCACUUAAAACAUUACUUGGUGAUACAGGGCACAGCCCUUUCCAUAUUUCAACAGAAUACAUGGGUCGUUUUCUCUGCUUCCUUCUCAUACUGCCUCCCCAGAGGCACAGGCCCCAAGCAAGUGCACAGUGAGGGUUGAAAUGGAGGACUGUAAAUCCUCAGAGCUUCUGCCCCAAGCAUCACGGUGCUCAAGAAUCACUGGGGUCUUGUUAAACGCAGAUUUGAUUCAGUGUGUCUGGACUGGGUCUUCCAGGCGAUGCCCAACUUGUGGUCCAGGAAGCACACUUUGAGAAUAUUUUUCACAACUGAACCUUUCAUAAAACCUGGAUACCAGAGUGCUUGGGGUUAAUUUUCUGAUGAGAGCUGGGUGGUCUCAUAUUCUAUGAAGCAGUCAAAGGCGGGGCCACAUGGUUUGAAUGUGCAGGGCCAACCUAACGGUCUCUGAUGAUAUUAACAGGCUGGACCAGGGCUGGAGCUUGCAGCUAAAGCCACUGCACUUCUCCAAGGAGAGGGGCCAUAGCGCUGCUCACCCCCCAACCAUUCCCUUAUGCCAACACUGCAGGUGACCGGCUUUUAUUCUUAGUCAAUGUCCAGGAUAAUUUUGUUAGAUUUUGUAUAUUUUAAUUUUUGCUUAAAUUUAGCAAACGUGGAUUUGAUCAUCUAAACUAGUGAGUGACAAGUGUGUGACAAGCCCCUAAAAUAAUGCCUUGGCUGGGUCUUUUAAAUAAUUUUUGUUCUCUUCAUCCUCACAAAAUAACUAAUGGGUACUACGCUUAAUACCUGGGUGAUGAAAUAAUCUGUACAAGAAACCCACAUGACACAAGCUUACCUAUGUAACAAACCUGUACAUGUACCCCUCAACUUAAAAUAAACGUUAAAAAUUGUUCUUAAUUAUUAGGAAUUCAGCCUCUAAUUCCCCACAGGUUUUCUUCCUUGCCAAGUCUUAGUAAACUUAUCCAUUCCACUCAUAUGACAAAAGAACUGAUGACUCAAGGGCCAAACAAUUUAAACAGCAAGAACAUGAAGAAAACCUCUCUUC
Long non-coding RNA from Pongo pygmaeus (Bornean orangutan), 4846 nucleotides. RefSeq lists it as uncharacterized. The record is from RefSeq and is a predicted model, not a curated record. Lineage: Eukaryota; Metazoa; Chordata; Mammalia; Primates; Hominidae. The transcript has 3 exons.